RNAcentral lists this transfer RNA (87 nucleotides) under Chloroflexota bacterium. RNAcentral describes it as "Chloroflexi bacterium (groundwater metagenome) tRNA-Leu". The record is from RNAcentral. Lineage: Bacteria; Bacillati; Chloroflexota.
GCCGGGGUGGCGGAACUGGCAGACGCGCCAUCUUGAGGGGGUGGUGAGCGCAAGCUCGUAGGAGUUCAAGUCUCCUCCUCGGCACCA